CAGACUGUCCACCCUGCUCUCAGGAGAGAAUGAUAAAGCAGUUUCAUGAAGUAAUAGACAGAGUUUGGAAAUGGUGACAAACACAAGCUGAGAUUGUUUCCAAAUAUGAAGAGCGAGACUAUCAAAGGGAAAAGACAAUCUCACAGAGUCCUCUGUGUUUCCUGAAGUGGAGCUGAUCUCAUUAGAAGAAAACAUGAAAAACAGAAAACAUCUAAACUGGACUUCAUAAGUCUGAAGUACCCUAAAUCAGUGGUGGUUUUAAGAAAAGUACCCUUAUUACCUUGUUUCUUUGUACUCUUAUACAAAAUAAUUUUGUGCCAGACUGAACUCUGGAGAAUUGUAGAGUUGU
Long non-coding RNA from Lepidothrix coronata (blue-crowned manakin), 349 nucleotides. RefSeq lists it as uncharacterized. The record is from RefSeq and is a predicted model, not a curated record. Lineage: Eukaryota; Metazoa; Chordata; Aves; Passeriformes; Pipridae. The transcript is spliced from 3 exons.